RNAcentral lists this ribosomal RNA (171 nucleotides) under Rhododendron griersonianum. Its description in RNAcentral is "4.5S ribosomal RNA". Lineage: Eukaryota; Viridiplantae; Streptophyta; Magnoliopsida; Ericales; Ericaceae. The record is from RNAcentral.
AGGUCACGGCGAGACGAGCCGUUUAUCAUUACGAUAGGUGUCAAGUGGAAGAUGGCCUUCAACAAAAAAAAGUGGAAGGUGGCCUUCAACAAAAAAAAGUGGAAGGUGGCCUUCAACAAAAAAAAGUGGAAGGUGGCCUUCAACAAAAAAAAAAGUGGAAGGUGGCAGUAA